This is a small nucleolar RNA of Mercurialis annua (annual mercury), 108 nucleotides long. The record is from RefSeq and is a predicted model, not a curated record. NCBI's taxonomy places the organism in Eukaryota, Viridiplantae, Streptophyta, Magnoliopsida, Malpighiales, Euphorbiaceae.
AAGCUUAUGAUGGGGGACACUUCUUUGUAAGUCCUUAAAACGCUCCCAUGCUUCAUAGAGCGACUCCCCAUCGAAUUGCACAAACUCGAGAAUGUCCUUAGUUAGCUU